CCCUUAGAUGUCCGGGGCCGCACGCGCGCUACACUGAAGGAAUCAGCGUGGCUUUCUCCCUGACCCGAAAGGGUUGGGAAACCCGUUGAAUCUCCGUCGUGAUAGGGAUUGGGGCUUGAAAUUGUUCCCCAUGAACGAGGAAUUCCCAGUAAGCGCGAGUCAUAAGCUCGCGUUGAUUACGUCCCUGCCCUUUGUACACACCGCCCGUCGCUACUACCGAUUGAACGGUUUAGUGAGGGCCUCGGAUUGGUCUCGGCCCGCUCUUUACCGGGCGGCGCCGUUGGUCGAGAAGACGCUCGAACUUGAUCGUUUAGAGGAAGUAAAAGUCGUAACA
Molecule: ribosomal RNA, 334 nt
Filed under: uncultured eukaryote
Lineage: Eukaryota
Description: partial 18S ribosomal RNA
Rfam family: Eukaryotic small subunit ribosomal RNA
Source: RNAcentral